This 131-nucleotide small RNA is filed under the name Salmonella enterica subsp. salamae serovar 56:z10:e,n,x str. 1369-73. Its description in RNAcentral is "RtT RNA". It matches the Rfam family "RtT RNA". From Rfam's summary of the family: This family represents a bacterial cis-regulatory element known as RtT RNA. RNAcentral also lists the same sequence under 1 other name. The record is from RNAcentral. Lineage: Bacteria; Pseudomonadati; Pseudomonadota; Gammaproteobacteria; Enterobacterales; Enterobacteriaceae.
UAUCUCUCCGUACCGGGAAGGAUGAGAAGCUUCGACUAAGGUUCGAUUCGAGCGCAGCGAGAAAGCGCUGCUGCAGGCAACGACCCGAAGGGUGAGGAGCGGAGCGACGAAUAAUCCUUCCCCCACCACCA